RNAcentral lists this ribosomal RNA (439 nucleotides) under uncultured bacterium. RNAcentral's name for it is "partial 16S ribosomal RNA". It matches the Rfam family "Bacterial small subunit ribosomal RNA", at positions 338 to 795 of the family's 1533-position model. The record is from RNAcentral.
CCUACGGGUGGCAGCAGUGGGGAAUAUUGCACAAUGGGGGAAACCCUGAUGCAGCGACGCCGCGUGAGUGAAGAAGGAAUUCGUUAUGUAAAGCUCUAUCAGCAGGGAAGAAAAUGACGUUACGUGAGUAAGAUGCCACGGCUAACUACGUGACAGCAGCGGCCGUAAUACGUAGGAUGCGUGUGUUAUCCGGAUUUAUUGGGUUUAAGGGGUGCGUAGGCGGUAUUUUAAGUUAGUGGGAAAACGUCGGGGCUUCACCUUGAUUGGCCAUUCACACUGGAGUACUAGAGUACAGAGGAGGUAGGUGGAAUAAGUUAAGUAGCGGUGAAAUGCUUAGAUAUAACUGAGAACCCCGAUAGCGAAGGCAGCUUACCAGACUGGUACUGACGCUGAAGCACGAGAGCGUGGGUAGCGAACAGGAUUAGAUACCCUUGUAGUC